AUGGCGCGGCCCGCAGGCGGCGGCGGGGCAGCGCCCGGGGCCGCUGAGCCGCAGCGGAGCGGCACGCCGAGGAGAGGCGGCCGGUGCCCCGCCGGCGCUGCUUUGGAGCCUGAGGUGAGUCUGCUGGGUCGCGGGGAGAAGUUGGGGCGCGGGGUUUGGGCCGGCGUGGGGAUGCCCCGGUGCUGGGGUGGGGAAGGAGUGCUGCGGGCCAGCGGCGGCCCCGCAAGGGCGGAGAUCCCGGGUGCCGACGCCGGCUCGCUCGGUGACCUUGGUCAAGUUGUGUCUCCGCUCCGGGCUCGCUUCGCAGCCUCCCCGGGUGAGCGAGCCCGGGUGCCGGGGAAGGCACCGAGUGCCGCCCGGCCGGGAAUCACCCCGAACCGGGGCCCGCAGGGGACGGGCGGCUGCGACCGGCCCGGUGGGAUAUCUGCUAUCUGCUGUCAGGAUACACGGGGUGCCCGGGAUGCUGGGACCCGCUGCUGUGUGCUGAGCGCGCUGCUCGGCGUGAAAUGCCGGUGUGAGACACCCCGCGCCCGCUGGGACCGGGGAGAUGCCCCCGCACAGCUUAAAACGCACAUUUCUCCCAUGGGCCCCGAUUAUUCAAUAGCCUGUGGGGGAAUCUCCCGUUCCCCGCACCGCAGGGCUCCGCUCCGCCACCCGGAGCACCGGAUCGAGCAGUGGGUGCGUGACCCGUGGGGAGAUGUCUGCUCACCUCGGGCGCUCACCCAGCACAGCUCCGGGAGCCCGGCGGUCCCCGCUCCCUUCCCUUCUCUGAGCACUCCUAUUUCCAGUGAGAAGCAAAACUCUGUGUCCUUAAAGCGCUGGAGAGCACCGGCUCUCGGCGCAGCGAUGCCCGGUCCCCUCCCCGGGGACCCGGUGCGGCUGUCCCGGAGCGGCGGUGGCGGUCCCGGGGUGCCGAGCCUGGCGCUGCGGGCCGGGUGGGACCGCCGGCAGAUGUCAGUGUCCCCUCUCGGCAGCCGCCAGGAGGGUCCCUGCCAGCCCCGGAGUCGCUGCGAUGAGGCCCCUGCACUUUUUUUCGAAGCGGAGCUGCCCUUGGUGGCCGUUCAGUGA
RNAcentral lists this long non-coding RNA (1068 nucleotides) under Taeniopygia guttata (zebra finch). RNAcentral describes it as "lncRNA (ENSTGUG00000026237.1)". Lineage: Eukaryota; Metazoa; Chordata; Aves; Passeriformes; Estrildidae. The record is from RNAcentral.